CAGCCGCCGCGGUAAUACGGAGGGUGCAAGCGUUACUCGGAAUCACUGGGCGUAAAGGACGCGUAGGCGGAUUAUCAAGUCUCUUGUGAAAUCUAACGGCUUAACCGUUAAACUGCUUGGGAAACUGAUAAUCUAGAGUAAGGGAGAGGCAGAUGGAAUUCUUGGUGUAGGGGUAAAAUCCGUAGAUAUCAAGAAGAAUACCUAUUGCGAAGGCGAUCUGCUGGAACUUAACUGACGCUAAUGCGUGAAAGCGUGGGGAGCAAACAGGAUUAGAUACCCGCGUAGUCCCUGUCUCUUAUAC
This 301-nucleotide ribosomal RNA is filed under the name uncultured bacterium. Its description in RNAcentral is "partial 16S ribosomal RNA". It matches the Rfam family "Bacterial small subunit ribosomal RNA", at positions 509 to 807 of the family's 1533-position model. The record is from RNAcentral.